CUGGUUGAUCCUGCCAGACCCGACUGCUAUCGGAUUGGGACUAAGCCAUGCGAGUCAACUCCGCAAGGGGUGGCGCACGGCUCAGUAACACGUAGUCAACCUACCCUGGGGACGGGGAUAACCUCGGGAAACUGAGGCUAAACCCCGAUGGGCCAUGGCUCCUGGAAUGGGCUAUGGCUGAAAUCUACAUGGCCCCAGGAUGGGACUGCGGCCGAUCAGGUUGUUGGUGGGGUAAUGGCCCACCAAGCCUAUAACCGGUGCGGGCUCUGAGAGGAGGAGCCCGGAGAUGGGCACUGAGACAAGGGCCCAGGUCCUAUGGGGCGCAGCAGGCGCGAAACCUCCGCAAUGGGCGAAAGCCCGACGGGGUCAGUCCGAGUGGUUCCCGCUGAGGGAACCUUUUGCCAGCUGUAAACAGGCUGGCGAAUAAGGGGUGGGCAAGUUUGGUGUCAGCCGCCGCGGUAAUACCAGCACCCCGAGUGGUCGGGACGAUUAUUGGGCCUAAAGCAUCCGUAGCCGGCCCAGUAAGUCCUCCGUUAAAUCCAACGGCUCAACCGUUGGACUGCGGGGGAUACUGCUGGGCUAGGGGACGGGAGAGGCGAGGGGUAUUCCCGGGGUAGGGGUAAAAUCCACUGAUCCCGGGAGGACCACCAGUGGCGAAGGCGCCUCGCUAGAACGUGCCCGACGGUGAGGGAUGAAAGCUGGGGGAGCGAACCGGAUUAGAUACCCGGGUAGUCCCAGCCGUAAACGAUGUAGGCUCGGUGUUGGGCUGCCUCAGUGGCAGCCCAGUGCCGCAGGGAAGCCGUUAAGCCUACCGCCUGGGGAGUACGGCCGCAAGGCUGAAACUUAAAGGAAUUGGCGGGGGAGCACCAC
This 870-nucleotide ribosomal RNA is filed under the name uncultured archaeon. RNAcentral describes it as "bacterial SSU rRNA". It matches the Rfam family "Archaeal small subunit ribosomal RNA", at positions 4 to 882 of the family's 1478-position model. The record is from RNAcentral.